This 253-nucleotide ribosomal RNA is filed under the name uncultured bacterium. RNAcentral's name for it is "partial 16S ribosomal RNA". It matches the Rfam family "Bacterial small subunit ribosomal RNA", at positions 524 to 776 of the family's 1533-position model. The record is from RNAcentral.
UACGUAGGUGGCGAGCGUUAUCCGGAAUUACUGGGUGUAAAGGGUGUGUAGGCGGGAUUGCAAGUCAGGCGUGAAAUGGGAAGGCUCAACCUUCCAGCUGCGCUUGAAACUGUAAUUCUUGAGAGUGGGAGAGGUAAACGGAAUUCCUGGUGUAGUAGUGAAAUGCGUAGAUAUCAGGAGGAACACCGGUGGCGAAGGCGGUUUACUGGACCACAACUGACGCUGAGACACGAAAGCGUGGGGAGCAAACAGG